CUGUUACUGACGCUGAGGCUCGAAAGCGUGGGGAGCAAACAGGAUUAGAUACCUGGUAGUCCACGCCGUAAACGAUGAGUGCUAAGUGUUAGGGGGUUCCGCCCUUUAGUGCUGCAGCUAACGCAUUAAGCACUCCGCUGGGGAGUACGACCGCAAGGUUGAAACUCAAAGGAAUUGACGGGGGCCCGCACAAGCGGUGGAGCAUGUGGUUUAAUUCGAAGCAACGCGAAGAACCUUACCAGGUCUUGACAUCCUUUGACAACUCUAGAGAUAGAGCUUUCCCUUCGGGGACAAAGUGACAGGUGGUGCAUGGUUGUCGUCAGCUCGUGUCGUGAGAUGUUGGGUUAAGUCCCGCAACGAGCGCAACCCUUAUUGUUAGUUGCCAUCAUUCAGUUGGGCACUCUAGCGAAACUGCCGGUGACAAACCGGAGGAAGGUGGGGAUGACGUCAAAUCAUCAUGCCCCUUAUGACCUGGGCUACACACGUGCUACAAUGGACAGUACAAUGAGCAGCGACACGGCGACGUGAAGCGAAUCUCAUAAAGCUGUUCUCAGUUCGGAUUGUAGGCUGCAACUCGCCUACAUGAAGCCGGAAUCGCUAGUAAUCGCGGAUCAGCACGCCGCGGUGAAUACGUUCCCGGGCCUUGUACACACCGCCCGUCACACCACGAAAGUUUGUAACACCCAAAGUCGGUGAGGUAACCUUCGGGAGCCAGCCGCCUAAGGUGGGAUAGAUGAUUGGGGUGAAGUCGUAACAAGGUAACCA
This 765-nucleotide ribosomal RNA is filed under the name uncultured Vagococcus sp. Its description in RNAcentral is "bacterial SSU rRNA". It matches the Rfam family "Bacterial small subunit ribosomal RNA", at positions 734 to 1502 of the family's 1533-position model. The record is from RNAcentral. Lineage: Bacteria; Bacillati; Bacillota; Bacilli; Lactobacillales; Enterococcaceae.